This 498-nucleotide long non-coding RNA is filed under the name Mus pahari (shrew mouse). Its description in RNAcentral is "lncRNA (MGP_PahariEiJ_G0005911.1)". Lineage: Eukaryota; Metazoa; Chordata; Mammalia; Rodentia; Muridae. The record is from RNAcentral.
GAGUUUGGAGGGUGCCGGUCAACGAAGCCACGCGAGGUAUUUGAAAGGCAAUCAGCCCGACCGUCCCCCUAGAUUCAUCGGAGAAGGAACUCGGUGAAUAUUGCCCUGGGUCCUGGUAAUUCCACCUACUGAAGACAGCUGCCCCUUCUGCUCAUAUUUCCUGAGUCAACAUGGCCACUCUUAACUUUAAAGAGACUUUAGACAUUCUUUGUUACAAUGAACCUAGAAGAAAGAAGAGAAAUAAUAACUGCCAUGGAAGGAUGCUCCUCCUGCCAAUUGGCACUUAUCAAUGACAUCGAGGGAGAGGGACAGAGUGCCUAGGUAUGAGCCUUCAUCAAGUGGUAUGAAGGCCCUACCCCAACAGAAAGUGCUCAUGUGAAGAAAUGAUGCUUUGGACAAGACUUUCCUCCAAGUUGGUCCUAUCCAGGGGUUGGCAAAUAGGGUCCCUGGACAUCAUCCUUGUUGCGUACUCUUAUGAAUAAAGUUCUAUAGGACACA